AAAUGUAUUUUUUUUGUUUGUUUGUAUGAGUUUAUUGCCUCUGAAAACUCAUUAAAUUUACCUUUUAAAGAAAAAACAAGGAUGUAUUUUGAAAGC
Long non-coding RNA from Thalassophryne amazonica, 96 nucleotides. RefSeq lists it as uncharacterized. The transcript has 4 exons. NCBI's taxonomy places the organism in Eukaryota, Metazoa, Chordata, Actinopteri, Batrachoidiformes, Batrachoididae. The record is from RefSeq and is a predicted model, not a curated record.